GCAUCGGUGGUUUAGUGGUAAAAUUAGCCGUUGCCAUCUGUACAGAUCAAUUCGGCUAGCCCCGGGUUCGAUUCCCGGCCGAUGCA
RNAcentral lists this transfer RNA (86 nucleotides) under Parastagonospora nodorum SN15. RNAcentral's name for it is "Phaeosphaeria nodorum SN15 tRNA-Gly for anticodon GCC". It matches the Rfam family "tRNA". Rfam says of the family: Transfer RNA (tRNA) molecules are approximately 80 nucleotides in length. Their secondary structure includes four short double-helical elements and three loops (D, anti-codon, and T loops). Further hydrogen bonds mediate the characteristic L-shaped molecular structure. tRNAs have two regions of fundamental functional importance: the anti-codon, which is responsible for specific mRNA codon recognition, and the 3' end, to which the tRNAs corresponding amino acid is attached (by aminoacyl-tRNA synthetases). tRNAs cope with the degeneracy of the genetic code in two manners: having more than one tRNA (with a specific anti-codon) for a particular amino acid; and 'wobble' base-pairing, i.e. permitting non-standard base-pairing at the 3rd anti-codon position. Lineage: Eukaryota; Fungi; Ascomycota; Dothideomycetes; Pleosporales; Phaeosphaeriaceae. The record is from Rfam by way of RNAcentral.